Molecule: ribosomal RNA, 493 nt
Filed under: uncultured bacterium
Lineage: Bacteria
Description: partial 16S ribosomal RNA
Rfam family: Bacterial small subunit ribosomal RNA
Source: RNAcentral
ACGAACGCUGGCGGCGUGCUUAACACAUGCAAGUCGAACGGUGAAGCGCCUUCCUUUUUGGUGGGUGUGGAUGAGUGGCGAACGGGUGAGUAACACGUGAGUAACCUGCCCCCUUCUUCUGGAUAACCGCAUGAAAGUGUGGCUAAUACGGGAUAUUCUGGGUCUGUCGCAUGAUGGGUCUGGGAAAGAUAUUGUUUCGGUGGGGGAUGGGCUCGCGGCCUAUCAGCUUGUUGGUGGGGUGAUGGCCUACCAAGGCGGUGACGGGUAGCCGGCCUGAGAGGGUGGACGGUCACACUGGGACUGAGACACGACCCAGACUCCUACGGGAGGCAGCAGUGGGGAAUAUUGCACAAUGGGCGCAAGCCUGAUGCAGCGACGCCGCGUGAGGGAUGGAGGCCUUCGGGUUGUGAACCUCUUUCGCCAGUGAAGCAGGCCUGCCUCGUUUGUGGGCGGGUUGACGGUAGCUGGAUAAGAAGCGCCGGCUAACUACGUG